Non-coding RNA from Arvicanthis niloticus (Nile rat), 212 nucleotides. Lineage: Eukaryota; Metazoa; Chordata; Mammalia; Rodentia; Muridae. The record is from RefSeq and is a predicted model, not a curated record.
UAGACUAUUCUUUCAGGGAUCAUUUCUAUAGUUUGUUACUAGAGAAGUUUCUCUGACUGUGUGGAGCACUGGAAACCAAGAGGACGAGACAUAGCAUCCCCCCCUGAGCGUGAAGCUGGCUCUAGGUGUUGCUUCAGUACAGCAGCCUCUGGCCAUUGAUGAUCAUUUUCUCCUUUGGUAGGGUGAGAGGAAGGGAACGAAGUCUGAGUGGG